RNAcentral lists this ribosomal RNA (419 nucleotides) under bacterium. RNAcentral describes it as "partial 16S ribosomal RNA". It matches the Rfam family "Bacterial small subunit ribosomal RNA", at positions 355 to 776 of the family's 1533-position model. The record is from RNAcentral.
UGGGGGAUAUUGCACAAUGGGCGAAAGCCUGAUGCAGCGACGCCGCGUGGGGGAUGAAGGCCUUCGGGUUGUAAACUUCUUUUGCUCUGAACAAGGCGCACCAUGGGGUGUGUUGAGUGUAGGGGUUGAUUAGCGCCGGCUAACCACGUGCCAGCAGCCGCGGUAAUACGUAGGGCGCGAGCGUUGUCCGGAAUUAUUGGGCGUAAAGGGCUUGUAGGUGGCUGGUUGCGUCUGUCGUGAAAGCUCAUGGCUUAACUGUGGGUUUGCGGUGGGUACGGGCUGGCUUGAGUGCAGUAGGGGAGGCUGGAAUUCCUGGUGUAGCGGUGGAAUGCGCAGAUAUCAGGAGGAAUACCGGUGGCGAAGGCGGGUCUCUGGGCUGUUACUGACACUGAGGAGCGAAAGCAUGGGGAGCGAACAGG